This 242-nucleotide unclassified non-coding RNA is filed under the name uncultured fungus. Its description in RNAcentral is "sequence contains ITS1, 5.8S rRNA gene". The stretch from base 194 to 242 matches the Rfam family "5.8S ribosomal RNA", at positions 1 to 49 of the family's 154-position model. The record is from RNAcentral. Lineage: Eukaryota; Fungi.
UCUCCGUAGGUGAACCUGCGGAGGGAUCAUUACAGAGUAUCAUGCCCUUCGUGGUAGAUCUCCCACCCUGUGUAUUAUAUACCUUUUGUUGCUUUUGCGGGCCGCCUCGGCCACCGGCUCCGGCUGGUGCGUGCCCGCCAGAGGACCCCAAACUCUGAAUGUUAGUGUCGUCUGCGUACUAUCUAAUCGUUACAACUUUCAACAACGGAUCUCUUGGUUCUGGCAUCGAUGAAGAACGCAGC